Small nuclear RNA from Trichechus manatus latirostris (Florida manatee), 198 nucleotides. RefSeq annotates it as U2 spliceosomal RNA. Lineage: Eukaryota; Metazoa; Chordata; Mammalia; Sirenia; Trichechidae. The transcript has a single exon. The record is from RefSeq and is a predicted model, not a curated record.
AUCACUUCUCAGCCUUUUGGCUGAGAUCAAGUAUAGUAUACGUUCUUAUCAGUUUAAUGUCUAAUACUUUCUCUAUCCAAGGACAUUUAAAAAGAAACCAUCACUUGUCUGUCAGUUUCAUACUGUGGUGGCUUGUGUGUUGCUAUGAUCCUGGAAAAUAUGCCACCAGUAUUUCAAAUACCAGCAGGAUCACCCAUG